This 93-nucleotide microRNA precursor is filed under the name Pelobates cultripes (western spadefoot toad). Lineage: Eukaryota; Metazoa; Chordata; Amphibia; Anura; Pelobatidae. The record is from RNAcentral.
CCCCAGAUGUUGCUGAAUUACAACUCCCAUGAUUCUUUGAAUUACAUAGAUAGCCAGAGAAUCAUGGGAGUUGUAGUUCAGCAACAUCUGGGG